This 700-nucleotide ribosomal RNA is filed under the name uncultured bacterium. RNAcentral describes it as "bacterial SSU rRNA". It matches the Rfam family "Bacterial small subunit ribosomal RNA", at positions 52 to 769 of the family's 1533-position model. The record is from RNAcentral.
UAAUGCAGUCGAACGAUGAAGUUCCUUCGGGAAUGGAUUAGUGGCGAACGGGUGAGGAACACGUGAGAAACCUGCCUUUCAUUCUGGGAUAACACCGGGAAACCGGUGCUAAUACCGGAUACUCCAUCUUGGCGGCAUCGCCGAGCUGGGAAAAAAUUUUGAUGAAAGAUGGUCUCGCGGCCUAUCAGCUAGUUGGUGAGGUAAAGGCUCACCAAGGCGACGACGGGUAGCCGGCCUGAGAGGGCGACCGGCCACACUGGGACUGAGACACGGCCCAGACUCCUACGGGAGGCAGCAGUAGGGAAUAUUGGGCAAUGGGCGAAAGCCUGACCCAGCGACGCCGCGUGAGGGAUGAAGGUCUUCGGAUUGUAAACCUCUUUCAGUAGGGAAGAAGCGAAAGUGACGGUACCUAAAGAAGAAGCACCGGCUAACUAUGUGCCAGCAGCCGCGGUAAUACAUAGGGUGCAAGCGUUGUCCGGAAUUAUUGGGCGUAAAGAGCUCGUAGGUCGUUUGUCGCGUCGAUUGUGAAAAUCUGAGGCUCAACCUCAGACCUGCAGUCGAUACGGGCAAACUAGAGUGUGGUAGGGGAGACUGGAAUUCCUGGUGUAGCGGUGGAAUGCGCAGAUAUCAGGAGGAACACCAAUGGCGAAGGCAGGUCUCUGGGCCAUAACUGACACUGAGGAGCGAAAGUGCGGGGAGC